UUGGAAUAGAGCAAUAUAGGGAGCUCUACUUUCUACUUUCUGAAUUAUGAACUCUAACUCUCCUCUUGAAACAUAGAUCCCAAUCAUUCUUAAGAAUCGACAGAGAAUAGAAAGCGGAUCCUCUCCUGAUUGGACUGGACAGUUAGUCAUAAAUGCUUUGAUUGCUAUAUCAUAGUCAUAAAUGCUUUGAUUGCUAUAUCAUUUCAUAAUCAUGAAAAGAAAGAAAUAUAAUGAGAUGAGAUUCCACGGUAGAGACAGCAUCCGCCUGACCCGAUGAAAGACCAUGAACCAGAAAGCGCAUAACGGAAGCAGUGAUACAAUUAUGAGAAAAUAGACUCUAAGUCCCUCUCGGGUUGUCUUGAAAAAAAGGUCUGGCUUCCCCGGAGCCGAGUGAGUAACCCACGAAUGGGAUUCAAACCAUCCCUUAUUUAAAGAAUUAGCCUAGGCAUUUCUAUUCGAUGAGAAAAGAAAGAAUGCCUUACCUCCACGUGUAAUGAAGCUCGACUGCAAGUAUAGGGGAGUGGUGAUGAAUUCAAUGAAUUCGGUCUCUCAUUUCACUCUCCGAUAGUAUUCUAGAUCGGGAUCGAUGCAGAGGAAAUCAAUGCUCGCCUCUUUUCUGAUUUCUACCUUUCUUACAGGGAGUGACAUAUUUCUACCUUUCUUACAGGGAGUGACAUAUUCAAAGGAAACUUACUUAGCUCAGGAAAGAGAAAGAGAGAUCCAUUCGUAUGCCCAGCCCAAUCUUCCUUCAGAGUCUCGCCCUCCAUUAAGGAAAUUCCA
Molecule: long non-coding RNA, 780 nt
Filed under: Musa acuminata (dwarf banana)
Lineage: Eukaryota; Viridiplantae; Streptophyta; Magnoliopsida; Zingiberales; Musaceae
Description: long non-coding RNA (MACU_LNC009008)
Source: RNAcentral